UCGCCUUGUCCUCUUCGGAGCCAAUCGGAAUUCUGUUUCAUACUUUGUAAACAACACGGUUGCACGUUGUCUGCAAACUACUACGGGUAGUUGUCGCGGGCCAGGCGCCGCCAAGCCACUUCGCUCUGUCUCCAGGCAAAGGUGUAUGUUUCUUGGAGGGACCAUGGAGUGGUAAAUGAGAAGUGCUCCACCCUGUGCCCUCCUCCACCGAACUCACGCGAGCGGAUCCCCGUCCUUUCAUUGCUCGUACGUCGGCGUGUGAGCGAAUGUAGCGUUAGCCCUACGACAAAGAAGAGGCUUUUCGGCUGCGUCCUGGUUGGCUAAUCUAUGAAGCAAUGCAGUGAAAACCUCUAAAGCAGGAAUCGCCAGUGAGGCUGCUAGCUGGCAUGAUGCAUGGGUGCAUCACUGUUGGACCAGUCUACAACAGAAUUUGAACAUGAUGAAACCAGGAGAGUAUCAAGCGGUACUAUGGCAGCUGUGAAGGCACUCUGUUGUCGCUCAGUCAAUGUGCUUUGCAGUCCAACGAAACGAGUAUCUAUAUCGGACACCGGAGCUGUUUCUGGAUGGGGACUGGAUUGGUUUAGUUUGAAAGGAUCAUAUGGAGUAACCAGUGUAUGAAACAAGCUCUACAUAGUGGAAUUCCUUCAAGAAUUCUUCUGUAUCUUCAUAUUGACACCAUACUGGUUAUGUUCAGAAUCUUGACAUGAUCCGGUAUGCUGGUUAUGUAAUAAGCUUUCACAAUUUCGAAAAUCAAUCUAAUUUUUGUUUGUAACCUUAGUAUUUAUUUGAGUAUUUAUUAAUUUAAGUAACAGUUGGAGA
Molecule: non-coding RNA, 819 nt
Organism: Electrophorus electricus (electric eel)
Lineage: Eukaryota; Metazoa; Chordata; Actinopteri; Gymnotiformes; Gymnotidae
Source: RefSeq, a predicted model, not a curated record